GGCAGAAAAAGUAGUGGAGAUGAGAGGAGGAGAGGAAGAAACAGAGAUCAUAGCAGUGGAAAAUAAGCUGAAAGAGAGAAAGAUAUCAUGGGCAAAGCUGCGUCGCGUGGACUCCCUCAAUUUGGAGGCUGGCAGAGUGUCCACGUCUCAAAUCCAACACAGUAACAUGGUUGAUUGGAAAAGGACAUUGAGUUUGGCAUUUCAGAGCAUAGGAGUGGUGUAUGGGGACAUAGGAACCUCACCCCUUUAUGUAUAUGCAAGCACUUUCCCUGACAAAAUUAAUGCAAAAGAGGACAUUUUUGGGGUAUUAUCGCUAAUCAUUUAUACCAUAGUACUAUUACCCAUGCUCAAGUACGUGUUCAUUGUGUUGAAGGCCAAUGAUAAUGGCGAUGGUGGAACCUUCGCCCUCUAUUCGUUGCUAAGUCGGUAUGCAAAAGUGAGCUUAAUACCCAAUGACCAACCUGAGGACAGGCAGCUUUCCAACUACAAUCUUGAAAUACCUUCCAACCAGUUGAAGCGAGCUGAAAAGAUUAAAGAGAAGCUGGAGAAUUCUAAUAGCAUUAAAAUCAUACUUUUUCUUGUCACCAUUCUCGGAACUUCCAUGGUCAUCGGGGACGGAAUUCUCACCCCUUGCAUUUCAGUUCUUUCAGCGGUGAGCGGAAUCAGCUCCCUUGGCCAAGACGCUGUUGUGGGUAUUUCAAUUGCAAUUUUGGUGGUCCUCUUCUGUGCUCAACAAUUUGGCACCGACAAAGUGGGCUUCUCAUUCGCCCCAAUUAUUCUCCUGUGGUUUUCAUUCAUCGGCGGCAUAGGUCUUUACAAUUUGUUCAAAUAUGAUGUGAGUGUAUUACGUGCUUUCAAUCCAAAAUAUAUGUUCGAUUACUUCAAAAGAAAUGGGAAGCAAGGAUGGAUUUCACUUGGUGGAAUUGUUUUAUGCGUUACAGGCACUGAAGCCAUGUUUGCUGAUCUUGGUCACUUUAAUGUCCAAGCAGUUCAAAUUAGUUUUUCUUGCAUUGUGUUUCCUGCUAUACUAUCAGCAUAUGCAGGGCAAGCAGCAUACCUCACCAAAUUCCCAGAUGAUGUGUCUAAAACUUUCUACAAGUCUAUACCAGAUCGAUUAUACUGGCCAAUGUUCGUUGUUGCUGUAGCCGCUGCAAUUAUUGCCAGCCAAGCCAUGAUAUCGGGAGCAUUUGCAAUCAUCUCUCAAUCUCUGAGUCUUGGUUGCUUUCCCAGGGUCAAGGUUGUUCACACUUCUGCUAAAUAUGAGGGUCAGGUUUACAUACCUGAGGUCAACUACCUGCUCAUGAUUGCCUGUGUUUUCGUCUGUUUGGGAUUCAAGACUACUGAAAAGAUCGGCAAUGCAUAUGGAAUUGCCGUGGUUGCUGUUAUGGUAAUCACAACUUGUAUGGUUACGCUCAUAAUGCUGGUUGUAUGGAGGACAAGGAUAACGUGGAUUGUUCUCUUCUUUGUUGGAUUUAUUUUCUUAGAGGGCAUUUAUCUAUCAUCUGUCCUGUACAAAUUCAAAGAUGGCGGUUACUUUCCACUUGCAAUUUCAUUUUUCCUGAUGAUAGUUAUGGGGAUAUGGCAUUAUAUACAAAAAGAAAGGUAUAUAUAUGAGCUUAAAAACAAGGUGUCCAGCGAAUUCGUUAGAGAAUUAGCUGCAAACCCAAAUAUAAAUAGAGUGCCAGGAAUAGGACUUCUAUACGCAGAGCUUGUACAGGGCAUUCCUCCAAUUUUCCCUCACUUCAUUGCCAACAUACCAUCCACGCACUCAGUUCUAGUGAUUGUUUCCAUUAAGUCUAUUCCGAUAAGUAAAGUAGCAUUGGAGGAGAGGUUCCUGUUUCGACAAGUUGAGCCAACAGAGUACCGGAUGUUCCGCUGUGUUGUGAGGUAUGGAUAUAAUGAUGCAAUUGCGGAGCCCCAUGAGUUUGAGCACCAGUUGGUCGAAGGCUUAAAAGAAUUCAUCCGCAACGAAUACUUCAUGCGCGAAGGAGGUACUGAAACAGUGGGCGAGCCAGAGAACCUCCAACAUUCCACUCUACUAGCGAAAGAUGGAAAAGCAAGAGGAUCAGCAGUUUACAUUGAGGAGUCAUUACAGCAGCAGCCUAAUCCAUCUCGGGUUUCAUCAGGUUCCAUCAAGUCAAAUAGUGGGAUUAAGUCGACAAAUUCUUCGAAUGGAAUUAUAUCUGCCACACUCCAAGGGUGUGCUGAAGAAGAAAUGCAGUUUGUGCAGAAGGCAAUGGAGAAAGGUGUGGUUUAUCUGCUGGGAGAAGCAGAAGUGGUGGCAGAACCAAAAUCAUCCUUGUUCAAGAAAUUCAUUGUGAACUAUGCUUAUGGUUUCCUGAGGAAAAACAGCAGACAAGGGGAGAAACUUUUGGCAAUCCCAAGAACCAAGCUCCUCAGAGUUGGAAUGACAUAUGAGAUAUGAUACAGACGCUGUAGCUUAUGCAUGAUAUACUUUUGUCGCAACUAAAAAACAAAUUGUGGGAAAAGAAAAAAGUUGAGUUGCCAUGCUGAAUAUUGUAUGUUUGCUUCUCAGUAUAUUGGCACAUUAAUUAUAAUGAAGACGUAAGAAUUUUUUAAUAUCUCUGUACAAGAAUGAUAUUCAUUACCUCAACUGCAAUAGGUAGGAGGGGGUAUGGACUUUCUUCCAAAAGAGGGGAAGGGGACACACUUUUG
This 2676-nucleotide unclassified non-coding RNA is filed under the name Hevea brasiliensis (rubber tree). Lineage: Eukaryota; Viridiplantae; Streptophyta; Magnoliopsida; Malpighiales; Euphorbiaceae. The record is from RNAcentral.